UCAGCCCUCAAGCCCCGUGCUUGGUGUUGGACGACUUGGUCGAGUUUGCUCCCGACCCGUCCCAAAGACAAUGACGGCGGUUGAUGGUCCCCCCGGCACACUGAGCUUUUUUAGGCACGUGUUGGAUAAGGGUGCCUCAGCCCCGGUCUCCUCCUUCAAUGGAAAUUUUCAA
Molecule: unclassified non-coding RNA, 172 nt
Filed under: uncultured Ascomycota
Lineage: Eukaryota; Fungi; Ascomycota
Description: sequence contains ITS2
Source: RNAcentral